GAGGCCGGCGGGCGCCCGCGAAUUCCCGCAGGGAGCGGGGUGAGGAGCUAGCGGUUGGGUCUCCGGGCGCGUGCUCCCCCGCCCGGUGAGGGUGAACUAACGGAGAUGGGCGGGCCGGCGCGCCGGGUUAGCAGGCGUUUAUCCUGUACGGCCGCAGCAGUCAGCGCCCCUCACCAGCACGAGCCCCGCCUGCAGAGCCCUAGGCGGCGUCCAGCAGGAGGCCUCCCGCGGGAACUGUCACUCCGCCAAACAAGAGAGAUAAACAAGCAAAAGUCUAGAAACAAGCCAGCUGUCCAUCUACAGUGGAAAGCGUAAACAAACUGUGAUGUGUUCGCGUACUGGAAUUUUACCCUGGCGUGAAAAAUCCACGAACCACAGCUGCAAGCAACAAUAUGGCUUGACCCCUUGCUAAAGGGAGCAUCUUAGAGUGGAGUCAACACCAAGCAAGGAUUCUGGAAACCAGGUUCCAGCUCUGCCAGGUGUGGCCUUUUGGGCCUCGCUUCAGUUACUGAUGCCUAAGGUCCUUUCAAAACUCUGUUUAUGGCCUUAAAAGUUCAUUUGGAAACUUUCCACACAACCCUGUGUUUCUGCUGGAGCUUUCAUGGGUCAGAGGAAGAAGAGAACGGUCAUCGGUUGCUUGGCUCCAAACCCGAGCGUCAUUCUGAAUUCCACGCCGCCCCUUGCACCCCAAAGCCCACCCAUCACCAAGGAUUGUCGCCUCUCCCACCAAAGCACGUCUCAGGUCAGCCACUUCUCACACCCCCGCUGCUAUCUCCUGGCCAGAGCCACCCCGUCCCUCAAGUGGCCUCUGAGCCAUCUCCCCACAUCCCCUCUUCCCAGCCUGCCCCCCACCAGUCCAGCCCAAGAGAUAAGCACGGAAGUCAGACUUCUCCCUCCCCUGUCCCCUCCCCGAGCUUCCCAUCUUGCUCAGACUCAAACACUAACCUCUCACGGAGACCUGCAGGGACCCCGGACCCCGCCCCGCCCACCUCCUCAGCCUCCUACCACUGCCCCAUUGCCUGUGCCCUUCCGUCCGCUUGGCCCAGAAUGCGCUUCCCCUGGGUCACAACUGCCCCCUUGUCACUUACACUGCAGCAUGAAUGUUAUCAACGCGGAGAGGCCAUCAGAGACCAACCCAGGUGCUUGCUCAGUUCACCUUGUUUUAUUUUCCUCAAAA
Long non-coding RNA from Balaenoptera ricei (Rice's whale), 1177 nucleotides. RefSeq lists it as uncharacterized. The record is from RefSeq and is a predicted model, not a curated record. NCBI's taxonomy places the organism in Eukaryota, Metazoa, Chordata, Mammalia, Artiodactyla, Balaenopteridae. The transcript is spliced from 3 exons.